This 448-nucleotide ribosomal RNA is filed under the name uncultured bacterium. Its description in RNAcentral is "partial 16S ribosomal RNA". It matches the Rfam family "Bacterial small subunit ribosomal RNA", at positions 331 to 793 of the family's 1533-position model. The record is from RNAcentral.
CCAGACUCCUACGGGAGGCAGCAGUGGGGAAUAUUGGGCAAUGGAGGAAACUCUUACCCAGCAAUGCCGCGUGAAUGAAGAAGGUCUUCGGAUUGUAAAGUUCUUUAAUUGGGGACGAAAAAAAUGACGGUACCCAAGGAAUAAGCCCCGGCUAACUACGUGCCAGCAGCCGCGGUAAUACGGGGGGUGCAAGCGUUGUCCGGAAUCAUUGGGCGUAAAGCGUUCGUAGGCGGUAUGUCAAGUCUGAUGUUAAAGCCCGGGGCUCAACUCCGGUUCGGCAUUGGAUACUGGCAAACUAGAAUGUGGUAGAGGUAAAGGGAAUUCCUGGUGUAGCGGUGAAAUGCGUAGAUAUCAGGAGGAACAUCGGUGGCGAAAGCGCUUUACUGGACCAUUAUUGACGCUGAGGAACGAAAGCCAGGGGAGCAAAUGGGAUUAGAUACCCCCGUAC